GGGGAAGGGUAGCUUGCUACCUGACCUAGCGGCGGACGGGUGAGUAAUGCUUAGGAAUCUGCCUAUUAGUGGGGGACAACAUUCCGAAAGGAAUGCUAAUACCGCAUACGCCCUACGGGGGAAAGCAGGGGAUCUUCGGACCUUGCGCUAAUAGAUGAGCCUAAGUCAGAUUAGCUAGUUGGUGGGGUAAAGGCCUACCAAGGCGACGAUCUGUAGCGGGUCUGAGAGGAUGAUCCGCCACACUGGGACUGAGACACGGCCCAGACUCCUACGGGAGGCAGCAGUGGGGAAUAUUGGACAAUGGGCGAAAGCCUGAUCCAGCCAUGCCGCGUGUGUGAAGAAGGCCUUUUGGUUGUAAAGCACUUUAAGCGAGGAGGAGGCUACUGAGAUUAAUACUCUUGGAUAGUGGACGUUACUCGCAGAAUAAGCACCGGCUAACCUCUGUGCCAGCAGCCGCGGUAAUACAGAGGGUGCGAGCGUUAAUCGGAUUUACUGGGCGU
This 500-nucleotide ribosomal RNA is filed under the name uncultured bacterium. RNAcentral describes it as "bacterial SSU rRNA". It matches the Rfam family "Bacterial small subunit ribosomal RNA", at positions 68 to 561 of the family's 1533-position model. The record is from RNAcentral.